Molecule: RNA transcript, 2678 nt
Organism: Girardinichthys multiradiatus
Lineage: Eukaryota; Metazoa; Chordata; Actinopteri; Cyprinodontiformes; Goodeidae
Gene: ly6pge
Gene name: lymphocyte antigen 6 family member pge
Exons: 3
Source: RefSeq, a predicted model, not a curated record
GUGUCACGUGCGUGACUUUGUUUACAUUUAAUCUCGACCUACGCGGAGCGCGAGGAGACAUAUCCACUUUGUUUACUGCCAAUGGCAGUCAGGAAGGAAUGAAACAGAACUGCUUUUGGUAGAAGUGCUUGCCAGGCGUUGAAAUGCUACACCUGUAUGGGCUCCAACAAUGAUGACUGCAACCGACAAGGCUCCAAAUCCUGUCCCAGCUACUCUGAUGCCUGUGCAGUGGUGGUGGGCCAUGACAGUGGCGUGAUGAAGUCGUGUUCCUACAAAUCUUUCUGCAGCCAGGCGAGCAGCCAGGGCUACAGAGCACCCGGAGUCAGAGUUCACUGUUGCUACAGCGACGACUGCAACGUUAAAAGCUUCGCCUCGCCGCUGCCGGGACUCAGCUAUUGGUUGCUGUCUAUUUUGUUGCUUUUGCACUGACCUUUUUCACAGGACAACCAGAGAACCUAACCAUGCCAACAAGAAUCCAUUCACCAUACAAAUGCCAACAAAAUGCCAAAAACACUGCCUGUUUUCAGACUUGAUGACAUCCUACUUACCAUUUUACUUUGGUUACUGUAGUUCUCUGAGUGCAAGGCAUGAAAAGAAAAAUGCUGCAAGCUGCAAAGGGUGGAUUAAUGCUUUUGAACUGUAUCCUAUUAAAUAUGUCAAUUGGCUGCAUCUUUGAUUGUCUUUCAUUAGGUGCAAAUAGGCAUGGGCCUGUAUGAGACUCUCACAGUGUGCUAAUCUUGAGUAAAAAUAGGUUACCACAGUAUCAUGAAAUUUACACAAAACGUUUAAAGAAAAUGAUAUGAUCUAAUAGCUUUUACUUAAAAAGAAAAGCAACAACUAUUUGCUGUGUAAACAUACAGCUUUUUUGUUAGAUUCAUGUUAUAUAAUGUAUAUAUUAAAAGUAUUUACAGUUAGUAUGAUUUGGAUACAUUGACCUAAUUGAUUUAGAAUGAAGUGGGCCCCUGGACUAUGCCGCCAGUUUUGGUGCCAACUCCCCUCCCAAGUUUUGCAUGAAAACUACUACUAAUAGUAGUGUACACAUCAACUUCACAGAUUUAAGCUACUGUCCCCAUAUGAUGUUCCAAAGGAAUGUUUUUAUUUGUUUUUGUUUUUUUUCUGAAAGGUUCCUCAUAACAAAUCAUUUUUCAUAUGUCUUUAUUAUUGUUAAGUUAAGUUAAUCUUUAUUGUCCACAUGUUUUAUUUUAACCACCAUGCUUCACAUGGUGGUUAAAAGAAAACAUAAAAACAAGGUACAAAAGAAACAUUCAUACUGAAUGACAAAGCACACCAAGAUCAUAAACAUACAACUGGCACAAUAUCUAGAUAAUGGUCAACAGUUAAGCAACAUUAUUGCAGUUGGUUCUUAUAGAUGUUCUUGGUUGCUCUUACUGCUCUAAAUUUCCUUCCAGGGAGGAGCUUAAUAAAUUCCCCAAAUGGUACUAAAAGAACCCAGAAUCAUUGGGCCUUUAGAAAAAUGACCACUAAAGUACACAAAAACAAAGGUUUGGAGCAUGCCCUUAAAGCUUGUUGAUAGGUUAGAUGUGUUUGAGGUCCAGGGUUAGGUUCGAAGUGGGGCUUUAAAAUCAAUAUUUACAAGUAAAUAGUCCAAUCAAAUCCAACGAAGUAAAACAGCUCACAUUUAUGCUUGCUUUAACUUAAAAAAUAUAAUGCUUUCAAGACAUCUAUUUUUAAAAAAACAAUUGGUGGGUCUCUUAAAAACCUCAGUGCCCAAUUAUGUCUUUACUAAGGUUUUUGCUAAAAAUAUUUUUAAACAGACAAAUCUGUGUUUUUUUGUAAGUGAGGAAAAAGAAUAGUAGCCUUCUUUUAGCCAACUGUGAAGCAACAGGUGGGGGAGGGUCCAUGCUCUGUUACAGCCAGAGAAAACUGGUUAUUCUGCCAUUUUCUCUGGCAUCUCUUUAAAAGCACUAUGAACCAUAAAAACAGUAUGACUCUUGUUUGCAACCAUAAAUCCUUGAUAUACUGAUACCUGUAUUUGGCCCAUGCCUAUGUGCAAAUAAUUCUGCUUUUCCACUCUCCGCCUUGUUUUUUAAAAACUAUGAAACCCCUUUUAGAUUAGAUGCUUUACCACAUCUAAAUACCCCAGUAUUUGAGCACAGUUUACACUCAGACAAAUGUUCCUGUGUCUAAAAAUGGCACCUAGAAGUUUACUCAGCUGGCAUGUUUUUCUCUCAUUAGCUCCCUUCCUGAAAAUCACCAACCUGAGUCGUGUCAAAGCUCUUGGUAGGAAGUGAGAAAAAGCCUCUCACACACUGAGAAUCAGUGUAACCCUUUUACAUGUCCAGGUUUAUUACUCUGAAGAGGUUAAUUUACUGUGUUUUCAAAUUCCCUUAAGAAUUACUGACACUAUGAACAGAAUCUGGACACAAUCCUCUGCAGGACAACACAAUCGGAGAGGCUGUUUAGCAUCUGUAUGUAGCUAAGCGAGCCAAACGAGCUGGCAGCAUUUUCUGACUUCAGGGGUUCUUGUCUUGAUGUGCAUUAUAUAUUUUUUUAAGUAUGUGACUCUAUCUGUCUUUAUGCAUAUUUGGAUCUGUUAAUCUGAAAUAUGUAAAAUGUCAAUGUAACAUGUUGAUUGUUCACUGCUCUCUUUAGUCUCUGUUUAUUUUUAAUUGUGGAUAUUUCAAAUAUAACAGUAAAUAAUUAUAAGAAAAUAUAAA